AGCUCAGCUGGUAGAGCGCCAGGUUGUGAUCCUGGAUGUCGCGGGUUCAAGUCCCGUC
RNAcentral lists this transfer RNA (58 nucleotides) under Modestobacter roseus. RNAcentral's name for it is "tRNA-His". It matches the Rfam family "tRNA", at positions 9 to 63 of the family's 71-position model. Rfam says of the family: Transfer RNA (tRNA) molecules are approximately 80 nucleotides in length. The record is from RNAcentral. Lineage: Bacteria; Bacillati; Actinomycetota; Actinomycetes; Geodermatophilales; Geodermatophilaceae.